AUUGCCAUUGCCAAUUUUGUGGCCAAUCCAAUAGUUUAUUCUUUUCGUCUACAAGAUUAUCGCAAAAGUUUACUCUACUUAUUCUUCCAUUAUAAAAAAAACAAAAAUCACGCUCCUCUGAUUAAUCAGAGCAAUAAAACAAUGGUCACAAAAGUGUAAAGCAGCUGUAUGAUUCACGUUGACAGGUCUACUGAGGUUGAUGUGAUGUCUCAGCUUAAUUAAUUUAAUGAAACAACUCUUGUUGACGUUAUUAUCUAAUGUUUUUCGUAUGAUCAUUGUGUAAGCCACAUUCAUUAUAUAUUUGCACUUGAGGCGCUAUGAUGUUGCCAAAAUACGUUUAUAAUAUAUUUAUGCUGCAGGUAACGAUAGCAAUACAUUAUUUGCUACAUCGUUUUAAAAGAUCAGAGACUUUUAAACAAAAAGGAAACUGAUAAAUCAUAAUUUUUUAUUUUGUGUGGGAUGAAACACAUAUACGGAUGGCACAAAUACGGGUGAGGCGAUAAAACAUGGAUGAUGGGAUAAAACACGGGUGAAGGGAUAAAACACGGAUCUUAUUGAAAUUUUAUUUCUUUUCAAGUGGUGUUGUUUAGCAAAAAUAGUAUGAAGACGUUGUGCAUUAACAUUUUAUGCUUGUGUUUAAAUUGUUUCAUGUACCAAAAUGUGGGAAAGUAAAACUAUAAUGUUUUAAACAUCACCCACAAAAAUGAUUCGUAAAAUUUAUCUUGCAUGAUAAUAGUUAGCAUAUAGCUGAACUCUCCGCCAAAGACAUUAUCCAGACAUGGUUUUUCUCCUGAGAAAGUAUACCUAUAAUGUUGCAGGUUGCAAGUUAAAUGUUGUCGGUAAAGUGAAGUUGAUUCACAGUUUUUAAAAAAGUUUUUUUUUUCGUAGAAAAAGAAGUUGAUACUUAAUUCUCGAGAGCUCUUUAUUCCUGUUCUUAUUCUUUAUUCUAUUUGUGUUUGUUAUAUAAAUAUGUUUACCCUAUUGUUCUAUACUUAUCAAACGUCUGUCAACUAAACCAUUCAAUAACUAUUUUGGCACAACUAGAUAUGUUGUUAACUUGACACUCACAAGAUAUUAUUUGCUCGAACAACGUUGCCUAUUUUAAAAGUCUGACUUAUACGUAUAAUCUAACCAUGUCUUAUAAAUUAUAUUGUAUGAAAAUUUUAUGCUCUCCGAACUAA
Xenia sp. Carnegie-2017 is the source of this 1181-nucleotide long non-coding RNA. RefSeq lists it as uncharacterized. The record is from RefSeq and is a predicted model, not a curated record. The transcript is spliced from 2 exons. Lineage: Eukaryota; Metazoa; Cnidaria; Anthozoa; Malacalcyonacea; Xeniidae.